This 496-nucleotide small RNA is filed under the name Pan troglodytes (chimpanzee). RNAcentral's name for it is "processed transcript". Lineage: Eukaryota; Metazoa; Chordata; Mammalia; Primates; Hominidae. The record is from RNAcentral.
UUUCUGACGUUAGGUCAAGGGCGGUGUUCCUGUGUUCUUAGGGCCCCAGGAGGCGAGUCUGAGUGGAACCUGGCUGGGGUAGGCUGAAAGGUGAUUUCGACGCUCUUCUGAGGCCUCAGACGUGUGUGAUGACUGCCCUGUAGAAUCAGUGCUGUGACCCCGAGUAACAACGCGCGCUUGAGUUGGUAUAAACUCCUGAAGGCUUUCCAGCUCACUACCCAAAAGACUUGAGUACUUCUAUUAAGGCAGCUGGAAGCCCACCCUAGACUUCAAUGGCAACUUGUCCUUUCUCUGCCAGUAAGGCAAUCCAACACAAUAUGCUACAGGAAAAACAGAAUUUCCACGGUGCUGCCCUCUGGUACAAGGGAAACAGCACUCAGAGCAAAAGGCCACAGAGGACUCCCUGAGAAUCCAGUACAACUAAGCGAGGCCUUAAACUGUCGAGACAAACUUUGCAACUGGAUCCCGGUGGGACAGUGCCCUGCGGCGAGGAGUA